Molecule: long non-coding RNA, 1005 nt
Filed under: Ficedula albicollis (Collared flycatcher)
Lineage: Eukaryota; Metazoa; Chordata; Aves; Passeriformes; Muscicapidae
Description: lncRNA (ENSFALG00000023127.1)
Source: RNAcentral
AUGGAGACACCAUUAAGGCAAGUCCUGCGAAUGCCCCAAGAGCAGGAAGAGCUUCAUGUGCUGAGCUCUGUGGGAGGAUCAGUGUUGGAUGAUUCCCCAGUGACCCCCAGUGGGCAGAGCCCCGCUGAUCUGUGGUGCUGUUGCCCUGUGUUGAGAAAAUACCUGGCUGGGGGGGCUCCACCUCUUCCUGGCUCCCUGCAGCCUCGAUUUUCUUUUAAUUUCUCUUUGUCCUUUCCAAACAUCCAAAACUGGCGUAAAAAUAAAGAUGUUGAACUAAAACAUGGAGACAUGGGGGGAACUUGCAGGGGCUGUGGGGGGAUGCUGGGUUUGAGGGAGUUGAGGGUUCCUGGGAGGGACUUGGGGCUUGCUGAGGGCUUUGGGGACCCCAGGCCGAGCGACUCCGGCUGCACUGGGAGACCCUGGCGGAGGUCCUGGGGCAGCUGCUCAAGGCCCCCCUGCCCUGGACCUAUCCCCAUGUCCCCCUGUCCCAGUUACUGGAGUCCUCUUGGCCCGGAUGCACCUCUCCUUGCUGCCACUCCCAUGUACCCCGCCUGUUCCCACGUCACCCCACUCCUGGUCCCGUCCAGCUCCCAUCCCAGUCUGGAUCCCAUUCCCGGUCUCAUUCCCUGUUCCUGUCCCGUUUUCUCCUUUCCCAUAUUCUCAGUCCUGUAUUCUCUUUCCUGUUCCCGUUCUCGUAUACCCGUUCGCAUAUUUCCAUUUCCACAUUCCCAUUCUCGGUCCCGCUCCCAUAUUCCAGUUCCCGUAUUUCCGGUCCCGUUCACUUAUUCCCGAUCCCAAUCCCGGUCCCGGUCCUAUCUUCCUAUUCCUCAUCCCAUAUUCCCAGUCCGGUUGCCAUUCCCAGUCCCGUUCGCAUAUUCCCAAUCCCCGUCCCGUUCCCAGUCCCGUAUUUCCAGUCCCAUUCCCGGUCCCUGUCCCCAUUCCCGGUCCCUGUCCCCUUACAGCGGACGCCGCCGCCAUCGCUCCGCCCUCCCGGCCCUCACCUGA